GGCUCUGUGGUGUGACCAUGUCGAAUUGCAAAUUCGAAGAAGCAGCUUCAAUUCUGCCGGGGCUU
Molecule: transfer RNA, 65 nt
Filed under: Elephantulus edwardii (Cape elephant shrew)
Lineage: Eukaryota; Metazoa; Chordata; Mammalia; Macroscelidea; Macroscelididae
Description: tRNA-Cys
Rfam family: tRNA
About the family: Transfer RNA (tRNA) molecules are approximately 80 nucleotides in length. Their secondary structure includes four short double-helical elements and three loops (D, anti-codon, and T loops).
Source: RNAcentral